Molecule: long non-coding RNA, 627 nt
Organism: Glycine soja
Lineage: Eukaryota; Viridiplantae; Streptophyta; Magnoliopsida; Fabales; Fabaceae
Exons: 2
Source: RefSeq, a predicted model, not a curated record
UGGGAAUUGAUAUCAUGCGUUAAUUGCUUUUCAUAUCAGACAUCACCCAUGAAAUUAUGUGCAUUUCUACUACAUUCUCUGUCCCGUGUCGAAUAAAUUGGAAUGGUUGCUGGUGAGUAACUUUUGAGGAGUAAUUAGGAAUGGCUUAACAGAGUUAAUAUGUUAGUUGGGGGUGGCAUUUGUGAUUCUGAAUCAACCCUUUGAAUGGUAGAUGAAAGUGUGACUUGUGGAAUAUGUAUGGUUUGGAUUAGUACAUAAGAAACUUAUGUGACUUUCUUUUUCACUAGAACCAUAGAGGUAACCCUUUUGUAUAUUGUAUAAUAGUAGGUGAUGGAUCCACCUUCUCCUCCAAGCACACCGUUGCUAAGUCCAGCUCCCCCUAGCCCUAGGGGAGGAUUCAUGGAUACAUGCUUAUGGUUUGUGUGCUGCUGCGGUCUAUUUAGUUGCUGCUCUCCUCCCCUCUUCGAAUCAGGACCUCCUCCACUCUAGACUCUACUGUUUUUGCUGCUUUGUUCUUUCAAACCAUUUCUAAUUUACCUCAAAAAAAUUGUGGCUUUUGUUUCCUUAUGGUUGUAUUUUGAGAUCAAGUUAUCAAAUCAAUAUUCAAAUUAUGAAUUCUCCGGCUAA